AGAGUUUGAUCCUGGCUCAGGAUGAACGCUAGCUACAGGCUUAACACAUGCAAGUCGAGGGGAAACGAUAUUGGAAGCUUGCUUCCGAUAGGCGUCGACCGGCGCACGGGUGAGUAACGCGUAUCCAACCUGCCCACCACUUGGGGAUAACCUUGCGAAAGUAAGACUAAUACCCAAUGAUAUCUCUAGAAGACAUCUGAAAGAGAUUAAAAGAUUUAUCGGUGAUGGAUGGGGAUGCGUCUGAUUAGCUUGUUGGCGGGGUAACGGCCACCAAGGCGACGAUCAGUAGGGGUUCUGAGNGGAAGGUCCCCCAUAUUGGAACUGAGACACGGUCCAAACUCCUACGGGAGGCA
RNAcentral lists this ribosomal RNA (353 nucleotides) under uncultured bacterium. RNAcentral describes it as "bacterial SSU rRNA". It matches the Rfam family "Bacterial small subunit ribosomal RNA", at positions 8 to 350 of the family's 1533-position model. The record is from RNAcentral.